Ovis aries (sheep) is the source of this 72-nucleotide transfer RNA. It matches the Rfam family "tRNA". From Rfam's summary of the family: Transfer RNA (tRNA) molecules are approximately 80 nucleotides in length. Their secondary structure includes four short double-helical elements and three loops (D, anti-codon, and T loops). Further hydrogen bonds mediate the characteristic L-shaped molecular structure. tRNAs have two regions of fundamental functional importance: the anti-codon, which is responsible for specific mRNA codon recognition, and the 3' end, to which the tRNAs corresponding amino acid is attached (by aminoacyl-tRNA synthetases). tRNAs cope with the degeneracy of the genetic code in two manners: having more than one tRNA (with a specific anti-codon) for a particular amino acid; and 'wobble' base-pairing, i.e. permitting non-standard base-pairing at the 3rd anti-codon position. Lineage: Eukaryota; Metazoa; Chordata; Mammalia; Artiodactyla; Bovidae. The record is from Rfam.
UCCCUGCUGGCUCAGACAGUCAAGAAUCUGCCUGCAAUGCAGGAGACCUGGGUUCAAUCCCUGGGUUGGGAA